CAGACCUUUGCUUGGUGAGGUGGAAAGAAGUGGAAAGAGAAAUAGAAACAAACUACCAAUUUUUUUUUUUCUAUGUCAGCAAACUCAGAAUGCAAUUCCCCUGGAACUAAUCUCCAGAGACAAAGUAGACUCCGGUGAAGUGGAGCAAGUCUGCAGGAUUGAAGCUCAGAUAACUCAUCUGCCCACCUCUGAGCUCCCUAAGAGCACACAUGUGGAGAUAAUUGAACCUCUCCAGGGCCCAUGCUCUACGGAGGCAGAGAGUGAAGGCGUGGAGCAUUGUCUCGGCAGCCCGACGCCAUCUGGGGAAUAUAUGCUGAUGUUGCUACAGAUGGCAUGCUGUUCAGUUCACCCCUUGUAAGUUCACAUUCAUUGUUCUCCAUCUGGUUUUCAAAGAUUCAAAAAUUAGUUGAC
This 411-nucleotide long non-coding RNA is filed under the name Bos indicus x Bos taurus (hybrid cattle). RNAcentral describes it as "lncRNA (ENSBIXG00005000106.1)". Lineage: Eukaryota; Metazoa; Chordata; Mammalia; Artiodactyla; Bovidae. The record is from RNAcentral.